GACGAACGCUGGCGGCGUGCUUAACACAUGCAAGUCGAACGGUGAAGCGCCUUCCUUUUUGGUGGGUGUGGAUGAGUGGCGAACGGGUGAGUAACACGUGAGUAACCUGCCCCCUUCUUCUGGAUAACCGCAUGAAAGUGUGGCUAAUACGGGAUAUUCUGGGUCUGUCGCAUGAUGGGUCUGGGAAAGAUAUUGUUUCGGUGGGGGAUGGGCUCGCGGCCUAUCAGCUUGUUGGUGGGGUGAUGGCCUACCAAGGCGGUGACGGGUAGCCGGCCUGAGAGGGUGGACGGUCACACUGGGACUGAGACACGGCCCAGACUCCUACGGGAGGCAGCAGUGGGGAAUAUUGCACAAUGGGCGCAAGCCUGAUGCAGCGACGCCGCGUGAGGGAUGGAGGCCUUCGGGUUGUGAACCUCUUUCGCCAGUGAAGCAGGCCUGCCUCGUUUGUGGGUGGGUUUACGGUAGCUGGAGAAGAAGCGCCGGCUAACUACGUG
This 494-nucleotide ribosomal RNA is filed under the name uncultured bacterium. RNAcentral's name for it is "partial 16S ribosomal RNA". It matches the Rfam family "Bacterial small subunit ribosomal RNA", at positions 28 to 507 of the family's 1533-position model. The record is from RNAcentral.